UACGGGGGGGGCAAGCGUUGUUCGGAAUUACUGGGCGUAAAGGGCUCGUAGGCGGCCAACUAAGUCCGACGUGAAAUCCCAAGGCUUAACCUUGGAACUGCGUCGGAUACUGGAUGGCUUGAAUUCGGGAGAGGGAUGCAGAAUUCCAGGUGUAGCGGUGAAAUGCGUAGAUAUCUGGAGGAAUACCGGUGGCGAAGGCGGCAUCCUGGACCGGCAUUGACGCUGAUGAGCGAAAGCUAGGGGAGCAAACGGG
Molecule: ribosomal RNA, 253 nt
Filed under: uncultured bacterium
Lineage: Bacteria
Description: partial 16S ribosomal RNA
Rfam family: Bacterial small subunit ribosomal RNA
Source: RNAcentral